AGUGGGGUAGCUGGGUCAAAUGGUGGUUUCAUUACAGGUUUUCCAAGGAAUCUCCAUAAUGCUUUCCAGAGUGGCUGCACCAAUUUGCAGUCCCACCAGCAAU
RNAcentral lists this microRNA precursor (103 nucleotides) under Marmota monax (woodchuck). Lineage: Eukaryota; Metazoa; Chordata; Mammalia; Rodentia; Sciuridae. The record is from RNAcentral.